AGAAUCAACGCUGGCGGCGUGCCUAACACAUGCAAGUCGAACGAGAAAGUGGAGCAAUCCAUGAGUAAAGUGGCGCACGGGUGAGUAACACGUGACUAACCUACCCUCGAGUGGGGAAUAACUUCGGGAAACCGAGGCUAAUACCGCAUAAAACCUAAGGGUCAAAGGAGCAAUCCGUUUGAGGAGGGGGUCGCGGCAGAUUAGUUAGUUGGCGGGGUAAUGGCCCACCAAGACGAUGAUCUGUAUCCGGCCUGAGAGGGCGCACGGACACACUGGAACUGAAACACGGUCCAGACUCCUACGGGAGGCAGCAGUGGGGAAUUUUGCGCAAUGGGGGAAACCCUGACGCAGCAACGCCGCGUGGAGGAUGAAAUCCCUUGGGAUGUAAACUCCUUUCGAUCGGGAAGAUAAUGACGGUACCGGAAGAAGAAGCCCGGCUAACUUCGCGCCAGCAGCCGC
This 459-nucleotide ribosomal RNA is filed under the name uncultured bacterium. RNAcentral's name for it is "SSU rRNA". It matches the Rfam family "Bacterial small subunit ribosomal RNA", at positions 26 to 518 of the family's 1533-position model. The record is from RNAcentral.